RNAcentral lists this ribosomal RNA (119 nucleotides) under Gadus morhua (Atlantic cod). Lineage: Eukaryota; Metazoa; Chordata; Actinopteri; Gadiformes; Gadidae. The record is from RNAcentral.
GUUUACGGCCAUACCACCUUAGGCACGCCUGACCUCGUCUGAUCUCGGAAGCUAAGCAGGGUCGGGCCUGGUUAGUACUUGGAUGGGUGACCGCCUGGGAAUACCAGGUGCUGUAAGUA